AACGAACGCUGGCGGCAUGCCUAACACAUGCAAGUCGAACGAGACCUUCGGGUCUAGUGGCGCACGGGUGCGUAACGCGUGGGAACCUGCCCUUAGGUUCGGAAUAACUCCCCGAAAGGGGUGCUAAUACCGGAUAAUGUCUUCGGACCAAAGAUUUAUCGCCUUUGGAUGGGCCCGCGUUGGAUUAGCUAGUUGGUAGGGUAAAAGCCUACCAAGGCGACGAUCCAUAGCUGGUCUGAGAGGAUGAUCAGCCACACUGGGACUGAGACACGGCCCAGACUCCUACGGGAGGCAGCAGUGGGGAAUAUUGGACAAUGGGCGAAAGCCUGAUCCAGCAGUGCCGCGUGAGUGAUGAAGGUCUUAGGGUUGUAAAGCUCUUAUACCCGGGAUGUUACUGUCAGUACCGAGAAAGUACGCUCCAGCUACCUC
This 429-nucleotide ribosomal RNA is filed under the name uncultured bacterium. RNAcentral's name for it is "partial 16S ribosomal RNA". It matches the Rfam family "Bacterial small subunit ribosomal RNA", at positions 29 to 503 of the family's 1533-position model. The record is from RNAcentral.